This 306-nucleotide ribosomal RNA is filed under the name Triticum aestivum (bread wheat). RNAcentral describes it as "partial small subunit ribosomal RNA". The record is from RNAcentral. Lineage: Eukaryota; Viridiplantae; Streptophyta; Magnoliopsida; Poales; Poaceae.
AUGAAGAAGACAAACGGACGUAGUCGAACGGAUCCUCACACACACAACGUUAUCGGAACCAACCCGAAGAAGCAGCACCGGAAAGAAGCAAACAACAUAGUAAAACAUCCACCACAUAAACAUGGCAUGAUGCAUGUCCGGUUUAAUGAAGCAUGGCAUGGCAAUAUGCACAAACAAUACUACAAAUUAAGUGGAGCUCAAUAUGCAACUCCGUUGCAUGUUGACGAAACACCACGUGACUUAUUUGGUUCGAACUUGUUUAUGUACCCAACAAUAUUAAAUGUUGUUAGUAUGGCAAGAGGGUGA